Long non-coding RNA from Arabidopsis thaliana (thale cress), 1541 nucleotides. RefSeq annotates it as other RNA. The transcript has a single exon. NCBI's taxonomy places the organism in Eukaryota, Viridiplantae, Streptophyta, Magnoliopsida, Brassicales, Brassicaceae. The record is from RefSeq.
UGACUUCUCUAAACAUUGAGCAAGUCAAAUAAUCUAAUGUUUGAUGCCGUGUAUAACAGAUACAAGGGAGUGUACCGGACAAUGUGGCUGUUCUUGUAUUUGGAAACAAGCAUGAAGUUCCUGGUGCUAUGUCUGCUUCUGAGAUCAGUAACAAGCUUGAUCUCACUUCUCUUCGUCAAAAAAACUGGCAGAGAAACUGGUAAGAAGAUAAGAAAAACCUUUCAAGACUCUAAUUUUGCGAUUAUGAUCGAUUCUUCUGAUGAUCUGUUUUUUGAUUCUUGCUUGCUAGGCAUGUCCAGAGCUCAUGUGCAUUCUCUGGUGAUGGUUUACAUGAAGGACUCGACUGGCUGUUGAAAAAUGCUGAAAGAAUGUAAGAAUGUGUCUUGGUUGUUAACGCGGAAUCUCUGUACUGAAAAUAGCCAUCUUUUGUAUCAAGUUAUUAACCUCAUCGUGCUUAUUUGCUAGCUCCAUCAACAACUUGAUCCUUUUAAACGAGACAUUACUCGGUCUAUGACCUUUCUCAACCAUCUCAAGCAAACAUUUCUCAGCUUCUUCGACUUUAGCCAAAUCACAAAGCAAAUCCAAAAGCACAUCUGAAACCAAACUAUAUGAACCAAAACCUUUUACCACCAUAUCUUCCCACAACCGCAUCGCCAUAUCCACUUUCUCGUGUCUCUUAAACAUCUUAAUCAAGAACAUACAGGAUUGUGUAUUCGGCAAACACUCAUUCCCCAACAUUCUCACAUACAGCUCCCAAGACCGUCCCAAAUCAUUUGCCAACGAUAAAACACGGAAAAACAGAUUAUAAGUAGUCGCAUUCGGAGACAAACCCUUCUUCACCAUCUCAUCCACCAACUUAUCCGCAUCCCCGAGCCUCCUCGCUAUGCAAAAAUUCCUAAUAGCAGCAUUAUAAGCCGCAACAUCAGGAUAACACCCAUACUCCUUCAUUUCCUUUAAAACUUCUCUAGCUUUAUCAGGCUGACCGAUUAACCCCAACCCACCUAUAACAGUUGUAUAAGUUAUAACAUCGGGAGUUUCCUCCUCCUCUCGCAUCUUAUCUAUCAACUUAUAAGCUUUCUCAAUCUCUCUAUCCUUGCAAUACACAUCAAUCAAAGAGUUAUACGUAACCACAUCAGGUUUUAGCCCCUUUCCCUUCAUUUCCUCGAAGAAAGCUUCCGCUUCUUCCGAUGAUUUCCAACCCGAUAAAAGUAUAUUAAAAGUCUGCAAAUCAGGCUGAAACUGAUGCUUCAAGCUAUGAUACACAUUCCUAGCAUCAGUCAUACUCUUCUCUUGGCAAAGAGUUCUCAAGAGAGCAUUGAAACAAGCCGUGUCAAAGAAAUCAGGAACCAAUCUCUUAAACUUCCAGAAAGAUUCAACAGUUUGUCUAACGGAACACAACUUAGCAACUCUACCUAACACAACUUGCAUCGUCCUUGGAGAUAUCAAAGAUCGAUCCUUACGCUUAGUCUCAAUCAAAAGCUCCCAAAUUUGAUCGAACUUUCGAUUUCUACCGAGAAUAUAAAGCAUUGUAUCUAGAGAAA